Molecule: ribosomal RNA, 509 nt
Filed under: uncultured bacterium
Lineage: Bacteria
Description: partial 16S ribosomal RNA
Rfam family: Bacterial small subunit ribosomal RNA
Source: RNAcentral
GACGAACGCUGGCGGCGUGCUUAACACAUGCAAGUCGAACGAAGAGCGAUGGAAGCUUGCUUCUAUCAAUCUUAGUGGCGAACGGGUGAGUAACGCGUAUCAACCUGCCCUUCAGAGGGGGACAACAGUUGGAAACGACUGCUAAUACCGCAUACGAUCUAAUCUCGGCAUCGAGGAUAGAUGAAAGGUGGCCUCUACAUGUAAGCUAUCACUGAAGGAGGGGAUUGCGUCUGAUUAGCUAGUUGGAGGGGUAACGGCCCACCAAGGCGAUGAUCAGUAGCCGGUCUGAGAGGAUGAACGGCCACAUUGGGACUGAGACACGGCCCAGACUCCUACGGGAGGCAGCAGUGGGGAAUCUUCCGCAAUGGACGAAAGUCUGACGGAGCAACGCCGCGUGAGUGAUGACGGCCUUCGGGUUGUAAAGCUCUGUUAAUCGGGACGAAAGGCCUUCUUGCGAAUAGUGAGAAGGAUUGACGGUACCGGAAUAGAAAGCCACGGCUAACUACGUG